GGGCCAGCUUAGCCUAGCGGUUUCAUCUGUCACAGCUAUGGACGCUAUCCCGGUGGUUCGAGUCCCGCGGGCGCUGCCUGGUCUUUUG
RNAcentral lists this vault RNA (88 nucleotides) under Varanus komodoensis (Komodo dragon). RNAcentral describes it as "Vault RNA (ENSVKKG00000002824.1)". It matches the Rfam family "Vault RNA". From Rfam's summary of the family: This family of RNAs are found as part of the enigmatic vault ribonucleoprotein complex. The complex consists of a major vault protein (MVP), two minor vault proteins (VPARP and TEP1), and several small untranslated RNA molecules. It has been suggested that the vault complex is involved in drug resistance. Lineage: Eukaryota; Metazoa; Chordata; Lepidosauria; Squamata; Varanidae. The record is from Rfam by way of RNAcentral.